CCUGAAAGUGGCUUUGGUGGUUCCUGAGGGGAGGUGAGGGUUGUUUUGCAGCUCCCUGUCAGGACCUGCUGGCACUGCUGGCUCUGUGCUGCUCCAGCUGCUGCACACGGGGAUUUCUUUGCACCUUCAGGGUAGGCUGUAAUACAAUGUCUUAAAUCUCAUGGAAUUAGAGAAAGAGAAUCUCCUGUGUUUGUACUGUGAAUCUAUGCAGAAUCCUACAAAUCCUGUGAAACUAAGUUUAAUGCCAAGAAUUCUCCAGGAGUGAAAAUCUGUCAAUAUUCCAAUAGAAAAGAUGGAGCGGCGGUCGUGUGAUAAAGAUCUUCUAUGUAAGUUGUUGAUGUGAAUGUAUUAAUUUAGUUUAUAUGCACCAGGAGAAGAGCUACUUGAGCAAGGUAUUGCUGUCUACUAACCACUAUAAAUUACCCUGUCUGGGGGAGUAUGUCCAGUAUUUUACAUGAGGCUCUUUUUUUAGUUAUAGGAUUCCCAUUGCUGGCUAACUCGAGCAGCUUUUUUCAGAGCCCAUUGCAGUAAAAGCAGUUUGUGAAUGUUGUACUAGGCAUUGUUUUAAUGUAUGGGGUAUUGCAAGCAGAAAUAUGCACCUGAAUGUGAUGGUUGUUUUACAAAUUUAAGUGGGUUGUUCCUUGUACAGACCAAAAUUUUCUGAAGUCUGCCUCCUACACUGCAAAGAGGUACCUGAUACCCCUUUCUGAGAGGCAGGACAUUGUUCUGAAGGAUUGACUGGAAUAUCGAUGUAGAAUAUGUUUGUGCUGUGCUCUCUGCAAUUUAA
Molecule: long non-coding RNA, 787 nt
Filed under: Coturnix japonica (Japanese quail)
Lineage: Eukaryota; Metazoa; Chordata; Aves; Galliformes; Phasianidae
Description: lncRNA (ENSCJPG00005014334.1)
Source: RNAcentral